Molecule: ribosomal RNA, 497 nt
Filed under: uncultured bacterium
Lineage: Bacteria
Description: partial 16S ribosomal RNA
Rfam family: Bacterial small subunit ribosomal RNA
Source: RNAcentral
GAUGAACGCUGGCGGCGUGCCUAACACAUGCAAGUCGAGCGAACGGACGAGAAGCUUGCUUUCUUGCUGUUAGCGGCUGACGGAUGAGUAACCCGUGGAUUACCUACUUAUUAGUCUGGGUUAAAUUCGGGGAUCCGGUGCUAAUACCACAUAAUAUUUUGAACCGCAGGGUACAAAAGUUCUAGACGGUUUUGCCGUCUCUUAUAGCUGGAUCCGCGCUGCCUUAGCUAGUUGGUAAGGUAACGGCGUAGCAAGGCAACGAUGCGUAGCGGACCUGAGAGGGUGAUCGGCCACACGGGAACUGAGACACGGUCCAGACACCUACGGUAGGCAGCAGUAGGGAAUCUUCCGCAAUGGGCGAAAGCCUGACGGAGCAACGCCGCGUGAGUGAUGAAGGUCUUCGGAUGGUAAAACUCUGUUAUUAGGAAAGAACAUAAGCGUAAGUAACUGUGCACAUCUUGACGGUACCUAAAGAGGAAGCCCCGGCUAACUACGUG